Xyrichtys novacula (pearly razorfish) is the source of this 1297-nucleotide non-coding RNA. The record is from the annotation of a GenBank genome assembly. NCBI's taxonomy places the organism in Eukaryota, Metazoa, Chordata, Actinopteri, Labriformes, Labridae.
CUUCUGAGGAGAACAUGAGCAGUGAAGAUUCACCUUAGAGCUAGAACAGAGACGUGCACAUGAUUAUACAGGGGCAGGGGCUCAAGUUUUUUCCAGUUGUUUAUACAAUAUGGAAAUUAAUGUGAAAUUAAAAAACAAAGUAUUAAUAGAAAGGUAAUGACUGUCCUGAGUAGGUGACAGUGAUAUCCAAUAGGCUAGGCACUCAAGAGGCUGGCUGUGGCAAGUGUAAGUGAAAGCAACACGCACUGGCAGGAAGAACAGCAAACGCCGAUGAAGGAAAAGGGUCUUUGCAGUGAUGGGCGUUACCAGAGAGGGCGAUGGCCAGAGGACACAAAUGGGACGGGGAGGCAGCGCGUUGGGGGGGGGACGCGACACAGCUCGGGCCCGCCAGUGCCCCAACGGGGUCCAAGUUCUUUUUCCUCCCCUUUGAACUGGAAAAUGGCCCACUUCCCACUGGCGAAAACUCAUGAAAUUUGGCAGGACGACCGGGCCUGGUGAAAAAUUUGAUAUUCCGAAGUCGCCCAAAAAAGAAAAUGCAAAAUGGCUCCAUAGCGCCCCCUAAGGUGAAAAUUCACACUAUUGACUGUCACGCCUGUACGCUUUGUCAAAAUGACAAAAAAAUUGACACACACAUGUAUCUCAAUAAGAUCUACAAAAAAGUCAGUGCAGGCGUAUCUGUCAAAUGUACGGUUAAAGGGUUAUUCCGCAUUUUUUGCCGAUCCGCACACAUUGGAAUUUCGCUAACUCCUCCGAAGACUUUCGUUCCACCGGCACCACAUUUGCUCAGGCCAAUCUACACCCCAUGGCCAUUAAAAGUUAUUCAAAUCAUGACGCUGCACCCCACGGUUUAGGUUCUAGGGGGCGCCAAAGAUAACCCUAAAAUCCACAUAUUUAAAAGUCUUAUAACUUUUUAUUUUUGCCCUCACUGUCCUCCAAGUUUUCUAGGAUGAUGCAAUGUCCAGCCAUCAACACAUUUGUGAAGGAAUUUUUACUCCCCAAAAGAGCGCCCCCACAUGGCAGGAGAAAAAAGUCAAUUUUUUCUUGUCCCCUAAGGCGAAAAUACACAAUGUUGAGUGUCACGCCUGUACGCUUUGUCAUAUUGACACAAAAUUUGACAAUCACGUGUAUCUCAAUAAGAUCUACGAAAAAGUCAAUGGCCACGUAUCUGUAAAAUUUACGGUUAAAGGGUUAUUUCGCAUUUUUUGCCGAUCCGCACACAUUGGAAUUUCGCUAACUCCUCCGAAGGCUUUCGUUCCACCGGCACCACAUUUGCUCAGGCCAAUCUACACCCCAUGGC